GGGGGAAUAUUGCACAAUGGGGGAAACCCUGAUGCAGCGACGCCGCGUGAACGAAGAAGGUAUUCGUAUCGUAAAGUUCUGUCCUAUGGGAAGAUAAUGACAGUACCAUAGAAGAAAGCUCCGGCUAAAUACGUGCCAGCAGCCGCGGUAAUACGUAUGGAGCGAGCGUUGACCGGAAUUAUUGGGCGUAAAGGGUACGCAGGCGGUUUAAUAAGUCGAAUGUUAAAGAUCGGGGCUCAACCCCGCAAAGCAUUGGAAACUGAUAAACUUGAGUAGUGGAGAGGAAAGUGGAAUUCCUAGUGUAGUGGUGAAAUACGUAGAUAUUAGGAGGAAUACCAGUAGCGAAGGCGACUUUCUGGACACAAACUGACGCUGAGGUACGAAAGCGUGGGGAGCAAACAGG
RNAcentral lists this ribosomal RNA (403 nucleotides) under bacterium. RNAcentral describes it as "partial 16S ribosomal RNA". It matches the Rfam family "Bacterial small subunit ribosomal RNA", at positions 355 to 776 of the family's 1533-position model. The record is from RNAcentral.